UACAGAGGUCUCAAGCGUUGUUCGGAUUAAUUGGGAGUAAAGGGUGUGUAGGUGGCGAGAUAAGUAGGGUGUGAAAUUUCGGAGCUUAACUCCGAAACUGCAUUCGAUACUGGCGUGCUUGAGGACUGGAGAGGAGACUGGAAUUUACGGUGUAGCAGUGAAAUGCGUAGAUAUCGUAAGGAAGACCAGUGGCGAAGGCGGGUCUCUGGACAGUUCCUGACACUGAGACACGAAGGCCAGGGGAGCAAACGGG
This 253-nucleotide ribosomal RNA is filed under the name uncultured bacterium. RNAcentral's name for it is "partial 16S ribosomal RNA". It matches the Rfam family "Bacterial small subunit ribosomal RNA", at positions 524 to 776 of the family's 1533-position model. The record is from RNAcentral.